GAUGAACGCUGGCGGUAUGCUUAACACAUGCAAGUCGAACGGAACCUUCGGGUUUAGUGGCGGACGGGUGAGUAACGCGUGAGAAUCUGCCUCUAGGUCGGGGACAACAACUGGAAACGGUUGCUAAUACCCGAUGUGCAGCAAUGUGAAAGAUUUAUUGCCUAGAGAUGAGCUCGCGUCUGAUUAGCUAGUAGGCGUGGUAAUGGCGCACCUAGGCGACGAUCAGUAACUGGUCUGAGAGGAUGACCAGUCACACUGGGACUGAGACACGGCCCAGACUCCUACGGGAGGCAGCAGUGGGGAAUUUUCCGCAAUGGGCGAAAGCCUGACGGAGCAAUACCGCGUGAGGGACGAAGGCUUUUGGGUCGUAAACCUCUUUUCCCUGAGAAGAAGAUCUGACGGUAUCAGGGGAAUCAGCAUCGGCUAACUUCGUGCCAGCAGCCGCGGUAAUACGAGGGAUGCAAGCGUUAUCCGGAAUUAUUGGGCGUAAAGCGUCCGCAGGUGGCUCUGUAAGUCUGUCGUUAAAGAAUGGGGCUCAACCCCAUACAGGCGAUGGAAACUACAAGGCUAGAGUUUGGUAGGGGUCACGGGAAUUCCUAGUGUAGCGGUGAAAUGCGUAGAUAUUAGGAAGAACACCAGCGGCGAAAGCGCGUGACUGGGCCAGUACUGACACUCAUGGACGAAAGCUAGGGGAGCGAAAGGGAUUAGAUACCCCUGUAGUCCUAGCCGUAAACGAUGAUAACUAGGUGUUGCCCG
Molecule: ribosomal RNA, 756 nt
Filed under: uncultured cyanobacterium
Lineage: Bacteria; Bacillati; Cyanobacteriota
Description: bacterial SSU rRNA
Rfam family: Bacterial small subunit ribosomal RNA
Source: RNAcentral